GACGAACGCUGGCGGCGUGCUUAAUACAUGCAAGUCGAACGGACAGGCCCUGCUUGCAGUGUUCUCGAGUGGCGAACGGGUGAGUAACACGUGGGUGAUCUGCCCUGCUCUUCGGCUUAAGUUUCUUCAACUGGGUCUAAUACCGGCUAGGUGCUAUCUUUAGUGUCGUGGUUCGAAAGUUUUUUCGGUUUAGGCUGAGCUGGCUGCCUAUCGGCUUGUUGGUGUAGUAAUGGACUACCAAGGCGGCGACGGGUAGCCGGCCUGAGUGGGUGUACGGCCACAUUGGGGCGGAGAGGAGGCCCAAAUACCGAAGGGAGGGAGAAGGGGGGAAGAUUGCACAAGGGGAGCAAGCCGGAUGAAGAGAGGCCGCGGGGGGGAUGAAGGCCUUCGGGGUGUAAACUACAUGAGCUAGGGACGAAGCUUUUUGUGACGGUACCUAGAUAAGAAGCACCGGCUAACUACGUG
RNAcentral lists this ribosomal RNA (465 nucleotides) under uncultured bacterium. RNAcentral describes it as "partial 16S ribosomal RNA". It matches the Rfam family "Bacterial small subunit ribosomal RNA", at positions 28 to 507 of the family's 1533-position model. The record is from RNAcentral.